AUUGAACGCUGGCGGCAUGCUUUACACAUGCAAGUCGAACGGCAGCGGGGGCUUCGGCCUGCCGGCGAGUGGCGAACGGGUGAGUAAUGCAUCGGAACGUACCCAGUCAUGGGGGAUAACUACGCGAAAGCGUAGCUAAUACCGCAUACGCCCUGAGGGGGAAAGCGGGGGAUCGCAAGACCUCGCGUGAUUGGAGCGGCCGAUGUCGGAUUAGCUAGUUGGUGGGGUAAAGGCCUACCAAGGCGACGAUCCGUAGCGGGUCUGAGAGGAUGAUCCGCCACACUGGGACUGAGACACGGCCCAGACUCCUACGGGAGGCAGCAGUGGGGAAUUUUGGACAAUGGGGGCGAACCCUGAUCCAGCCAUGCCGCGUGAGUGAAGAAGGCCU
This 388-nucleotide ribosomal RNA is filed under the name uncultured bacterium. RNAcentral's name for it is "bacterial SSU rRNA". It matches the Rfam family "Bacterial small subunit ribosomal RNA", at positions 29 to 417 of the family's 1533-position model. The record is from RNAcentral.